This 1996-nucleotide long non-coding RNA is filed under the name Heterocephalus glaber (naked mole-rat). RNAcentral describes it as "lncRNA (ENSHGLG00000035443.1)". Lineage: Eukaryota; Metazoa; Chordata; Mammalia; Rodentia; Bathyergidae. The record is from RNAcentral.
GCCUUAGUUACUUUUCCUUCACACCACCUGCCGCUGCCGCGUGUGUGACCUCAGGUGGCUGGCUGUUUGUUGAGGGUCAGAGCUGAGCUCCUGGGCUUCAGUUAGCCAAAAGGAGCUGAUGAGUGUGAAACACUUGGCUCCCGAAGCUGGCACGGGACUGCACAUCCAGAGGCCAGCCUGUCCUGCCACCGUCUCCAUGAUACCAUGAGGAGCCGAACUCAGAGGGUGGAGUCUGAGAGUGGCAACCAGUACCUGGCAGAGCCCCACCAUCCCCUGGACCUGGAUGCUGAGCUCCAACCUCCUUCUAGAGAAGGGAACAGCUGCCUAGAAGGAUUCUCGCACUCGGAGCCAGUGGACUUCUUUAGGAAAUUGAAACACUGAUUACAAGACCAAUGCAUAUUCAUUGAAGAUAAUUUAGAAAAUGCAGUUUGCCAAAGGAAGAAAAUAAAACUCACCAGCAUUCUCACUACCCAGAGAUAGCUACAGCUGCUGGGCUGCCGUGUGUAAUUUAAGACUUUGAGGGAAAAUUUAAAAGACCAAGAUUCCUGAGCUGCUCUUAGGCAUGGCCCAGACAGGGCUUCUCCGACUAGUGCCACUGAGGUCCUGAGCCAGGGGGGCUUUUUGCUGCGGGCCACCUGUGCACUGCUGAUGCCUGGCCAUAGCCCUGCCUCUGCCCACCCUAUGGCAGCACUACCCCUCCCCGACGGCCAUGCUGGUCCUGGCCGAACAUGGCUGGGGCUGGAGGAAGAGGCUCUGAAGUUAGCCAUGCCUGGCUUUUCAUCCCAGUUUGGGUAUAGACUCAGGCAAGUCAGCUAAGGACCAGGGGCUUCAUGGUCCCCAUUGUGAGACAGGGGGACCAGCAGGCAGAGCAGAUGUGGCGGGGACACAGAGAGCACUCAGUAUGAUGGAGCUGCUGUUGGCAUCAGCACCUGGUAGAUGGUGGCCUUUUUGGUGAGGUCCAAUUUCACAGAACCCAAAGAAGUCAACCACAGAACUCACGUGUGCUUUGCUCCUGAGCAAGACAUGUCGCUUGUCUCCUGGCAUCUCUGGGAGCCAACAGGAGGCUAAGAGUGUGGCUCUGGGCCUGGCCAGCCUGCUUCUGUGACCCACCUUUGUCCCCAACUUGUGUGACAUCAGGCCACACAGGGACGGGGCAGGAGAGAGCGAGAAGGACAGAGGGCAGAAGGAGAAGAUCCCUGGCCAUCCGGAGUCCACAGAAGCAGCCUCCACUCCGACUCCUGGGAGCCACCUGUCACCUUCGGUGCUCUCACUGGUCAAGCGUACCCAGCGCAGUGAAUGGAUCCUCCAGAGGGCGCUGAGGGUUGGCAACAGCAGGACCAGGAGACAAACAGCCCUAGGGGCGGGGGCACAGGGACAGCUGUGUGUUGUCCCCCACCCUGGACCUCGGGGUUGCCACAGGGAUCCUGAGUGGGAUGUGUCGCAUGGCUGGCCUCUGUCUAGGUGCCUCCUAAGCAGUGUGAAUUGAGCAUGGAGCAGCCGUGUCCCCAAGAGAGAAGCCAAAUGUGGUGACGGGAAGAAAAAGCGGCACAAAUGCUCAAAAGGCUGUUUACAACCUCCAGCUCUGACCACGGACCAGCAUCUAAUCCUAAUCACAGAAAUACGAGUUCCAGCCCGCUCAUGGAAUGCAUUUCAGGCUCACCCUCUCUCCCGCCUUCCCUCCACCCCACCCCGCUCCAGCCAAGAAAUCAAUUUUCUAUGUCACUCGUAAUUGCCAUAAUUAGUGCUGUCUGUAUAGAAAUACCAGGUCCUUUGUUGCUCCCUGUCCUGAGCUGUGCCAUUAAAACAGAGCUUUGACAUUGGUGAAGUCUAAACGUCCAAAUUUAAUAGGGCCACGUUUGUUAAAAAUUUCAGCUGAGUCCUGCUUCAAAUUUCCAUUUACAACCCCUUAUAUCUGUAAGGAUUAGGUUUCGCUCACUAUAACAAUAAAAAAUUAUGACUUAAAUUAGAUCAGAAUGUAUUAUUCUCACAUAAAAAC